GGUGAACCUGCGGAAGGAUCA
Molecule: non-coding RNA, 21 nt
Filed under: Brugia pahangi
Lineage: Eukaryota; Metazoa; Nematoda; Chromadorea; Rhabditida; Onchocercidae
Also listed under: 5 other names
Source: RNAcentral